GAAUAUUGGACAAUGGGCGAAAGCCUGAUCCAGCCAUGCCGCGUGUGUGAAGAAGGCCUUCGGAUUGUAAAGCACUUUAAGUUGGGAGGAAGGGCAGUAAGCGAAUACGUUGCUGUUUUGACGUUACCGACAGAAUAUGCACCGGCCAACCCUGCGCCAGACGCCGCGGUAAGACAGAGGGUGCAAGCGUUAGUCGGAAGGACUGGGCGUAAAGGGCGCGUAGGUGGUUCGUUAAGUUGGAUGUGAAAUCCCCGGGCUCAACCUGGGAACUGCAUCCAAAACUGGCGAGCUAGAGUAGGGCAGAGGGUAGUGGAAUUUCCUGUGUAGCGGUGAAAUGCGUAGAUAUAGGAAGGAACACCAGUGGCGAAGGCGACCACCUGGGCUAAUACUGACACUGAGGUGCGAAAGCGUGGGGAGCAAACAGG
Molecule: ribosomal RNA, 425 nt
Filed under: uncultured bacterium
Lineage: Bacteria
Description: partial 16S ribosomal RNA
Rfam family: Bacterial small subunit ribosomal RNA
Source: RNAcentral